UAUUUGCUCUUUGUCAGGCCUUCAAUUUCCGAUCGAUUUCUUAUUCCUCCUCCUCAAUUUAUAACACGCGAACCACAAUAUUCUCUCAAAUUUCAAGAACCUUAUGUUCCUCAUCAUCAGUUUCUUCGGAUACGAGGCAACCAUCUGUCGCGAGGCUUCCGUUUGUGGAUGUUUUCCUGGGAAAGAUAAAGAACAAUAAAACUCAUUUAGCCAACAGGAAAAUCUAUUCACGUAGAUCUACCAUUUUGCCUGAGUUCGUUGAUCAAACUGUCCGGAUUUACAAUGGAAAAAUUUUUGUUCGCUGCAAGAUCAAUGAAGGCAAAGUUGGUCAUAAGCUUGGAGAGUUUGCUUUGACUCGGAAAAGGAAAUUUUUGAGGAACAAGGUUGAACCUGCUAAAAAGAAAGGCAAGAAAUAAGCAUUUGCUACCCAAACCCCGUCUCAUUUUGAAAGGGAGGGGUGAUUCCGGAGAAAGAUGGGCAAAACGAAAGCAAUGGAAGAAGGAAGAAUUUGGUUUUAAGGUCCUGUUUUCUUAGUCAAAUGAUUGUAAGGUUUUGUUUGGUCAAUUCCUGGCCUGCACUGUUAUUCUGAAGAACUAUGGUUUUAGAUGACCUUACUAUUCAAUAUACUGAUCAGAACUCAGAUUUAUCAUUUACGAAGCAACAGUUGGGGUUU
Molecule: long non-coding RNA, 673 nt
Organism: Hibiscus syriacus
Lineage: Eukaryota; Viridiplantae; Streptophyta; Magnoliopsida; Malvales; Malvaceae
Exons: 3
Source: RefSeq, a predicted model, not a curated record